AUGGAGAUUGAGGCGAUGGGGAAGCAGCAGCGGGAGGAGGCGCUCCUCCGCGCCGCCUCCGACGGCAACCUCCGCCUACUCAAGAAGAUGGCGCGGUGGAUGGGCUCGGGAGGCAAAGGCGAGGCCGCCAUCCUGGGCGCGGUGGAGGACGGCGUAGGGGACCGCGCGCUGCACCUGGCGGCCGGGGCGGGGCAGCUCGAGGUCUGCAGGUACCUCGUCGAGGACCUCCGCCUCGAUGUCAAUCAACUCAACUUCAUAGGUGACACGCCACUGUACCAUUCUGCCAUAUAUGGGAGAGCUGCUGCUGCAAGAUAUCUUCUUGGUCAUGGUGCUGAUCCACUAGCUGGCAAACUGCACUCACCUCUCUAUGGCGCUGCAAAGAAAGGACAUUGUGAAAUAGCAGAACUUCUGCUUUCAAGAGGAGUCGAUGCGGAUUUAGAUUCUGCACAAGGGACGCCAUUGCAUGCAGCUGCAAUUGCUAAAGAUCAUAACAUAAUUAAGAUUUUGUUGGAGCACCAUGCCGAUCCUAACAAGGUUUCCGGUCUUGGUUAUACCCCAUUGAGUUGGGCCAUCCGGGCCAUCAAGCCCAUGCCUAGAGAGCCGUUGGAAUGUGUCAAGCUACUUGUUAAGGCUGGCGCUGAUGUGAAUUUUAUUGACUUCGAUGGUGGUAGUUACAUGAUGUUGGCAGUGAAGUCUGGCUUCCCUGGCAUCAUGAAGUUCUUGCUAGAUGCUGGUGCUAACCCUAAUAUUCCUGAUGAAUGUGGUAACACACUGAUUGAAGUUGCUGCCUCUAAAGGCAGUAGGGACAUGGUUGAAAUGUUAUUCCCUUUAUCUUCUCCUAUUUCAACGUUGCCGGACUGGAGUAUUGAUGGAAUCAUUUCUCAUGUGAAACACUUUGGUUUGAAGUCGAUGGAUAAACAAAAAUGCGCAAAGAUAAGAACUGAACUGAAACAGAAAGCUUCAGAGGCUUUUAAGGAAGGGGAAUAUUAUAUGGCUUCAGAGAUGUAUACUGGUGCAAUGGCAUUUGACCCUAGUCCAGAUGAUUGUGCAAUCAUAUUGGCAAACAGGAGUCUCAGUACGUUGCGCGGUGGGAAUGGAAGAGCUGCUCUCUCUGAUGCUAGCAUGUGCAGGAUGGCGCGACCUCUUUGGCCAAAAGCCUGCUAUCGAGAAGGGGCAGCUCUUAUGUUAUUGAAGAAGUACGAGAGAGCAUGCGAGGCUUUUGCGGAUGGCUUGAAGCUUGAGCCUUCAAAUGGUGAUCUUGCAAAUGCUUUAAGGGAAGCCCAAGAAGCAGCAAAGAAUGCUCGUAGCCGUGAAAAGUGA
RNAcentral lists this ribosomal RNA (1320 nucleotides) under Triticum aestivum (bread wheat). Its description in RNAcentral is "partial small subunit ribosomal RNA". Lineage: Eukaryota; Viridiplantae; Streptophyta; Magnoliopsida; Poales; Poaceae. The record is from RNAcentral.